AGGGAAGGGAAGGGAAGGGAAGGGAAGGGAAGGGUAAAGGAAGGGAAGGGAAGGGAAGGGAGGAUCAGCAACUUAAGUGGUGGUGAUGAGGGUAGACAAGGAGAGACACCAUGGGACAGAGACAAACAGGGAAGGGAAGGGUAAAGGAAGGGAAGGGAAGGGAAGGGAGGGUCAACAACUUAAGUGGUGGUGAUGAGGGUAGACAAGGAGAGACACCAUGGGACAGAGACAAACAGGGGUGGUGACAUUAGAAGCUUGACAGAUGAUAAAAGAGAGAAAGAGGGAUGUUGUAGGUAGAGAGACAGCCCAGGGAUAUACAGAAGAGAAGGAGACCAAGUAAAGUUUGAGACAGAGGCAAAGAUCAGUAGGAUAGAAGGCAGGCAGAAGUAGAGGACAGCCAGCAGUAGGAGGAAGGCAGCAGAAUAAGGGAGCCAGGGGUAAAGGAGCAGGAGAAAGGGUAAAGGCUGAGCUACAAUUAAGGUCAAAGGGUCAAAGGGCAGGUAGAAGUAGAGAGGAUCAAGCAGUAGUAGAUAGGCAACAUUAGCAGGAAGGUAAGGGUCAGAGAGUAGGGUAAAGGGUACAAGUUGAGAUAGAAGUGAAGAUCAGGGGAAGGAGGCAGCC
Long non-coding RNA from Eriocheir sinensis (Chinese mitten crab), 621 nucleotides. RefSeq lists it as uncharacterized. The record is from RefSeq and is a predicted model, not a curated record. The transcript has 2 exons. NCBI's taxonomy places the organism in Eukaryota, Metazoa, Arthropoda, Malacostraca, Decapoda, Varunidae.